RNAcentral lists this unclassified non-coding RNA (334 nucleotides) under soil metagenome. RNAcentral describes it as "partial contains 5.8S ribosomal RNA, internal transcribed spacer 2, and large subunit ribosomal RNA". The stretch from base 1 to 120 matches the Rfam family "5.8S ribosomal RNA", at positions 35 to 154 of the family's 154-position model. The record is from RNAcentral.
GAUGAAGAACGUAGCGAAAUGCGAUAAGUAAUGUGAAUUGCAGAAUUCAGUGAAUCAUCGAAUCUUUGAACGCACAUUGCGCCCGCCAGUAUUCUGGCGGGCAUGCCUGUUCGAGCGUCAUUUCAACCAUCAAGCCCUGCUUGCGUUGGGGUCCUGCGGCUGCCCGCAGGCCCUGAAAACCAGUGGCGGGCUCGCUAGUCACACCGAGCGCAGUAAUACAUCUCGCUCUGGGCGUGCUGCGGGUUCCGGCCGUUAAACCACCUUCAUAACCCAAGGUUGACCUCGGAUCAGGUAGGAAGACCCGCUGAACUUAAGCAUAUCAAUAAGCGGAGGA